GACGAACGCUGGCGGCGUGCUUAACACAUGCAAGUCGAACGGAAAGGCCCUGCUUGUGUGGGGUGCUCGAGUGGCGAACGGGUGAGUAACACGUGAGAAACCUGCUCUUGUCUUUGGUAUGACUUCAGGAAACUGGGGCUAAUACCGGAUAGGAGCUCCCGCUGCAUGGUGGGGGUUGGAAAGUUUCGGCGGUUGGGGAUGGACUCGCGGCUUAUCAGCUUGUUGGUGGGGUAGUGGCUUACCAAGGCUUUGACGGGUAGCCGGCCUGAGAGGGUGACCGGCCACAUUGGGACUGAGAGACGGCCCAGACUCCUACGGGAGGCAGCAGUGGGGAAUAUUGCACAAUGGGCGGAAGCCUGAUGCAGCGACGCCGCGUGCGGGAUGACGGCCUUCGGGUUGUAAACCGCUUUCGCCUGUGACGAAGCGUGAGUGACGGUAAUGGGAAAAGAAGCACCGGCUAACUACGUG
This 468-nucleotide ribosomal RNA is filed under the name uncultured bacterium. RNAcentral describes it as "partial 16S ribosomal RNA". It matches the Rfam family "Bacterial small subunit ribosomal RNA", at positions 28 to 507 of the family's 1533-position model. The record is from RNAcentral.